This 497-nucleotide ribosomal RNA is filed under the name uncultured bacterium. RNAcentral's name for it is "partial 16S ribosomal RNA". It matches the Rfam family "Bacterial small subunit ribosomal RNA", at positions 28 to 507 of the family's 1533-position model. The record is from RNAcentral.
GAUGAACGCUGGCGGCGUGCCUAAUACAUGCAAGUCGAACGAACAGACGAUGAGCUUGCGCGGCUCACGUUAGCGGAGGGCGGGAGAGUAACGCGUGUAUAACCUACUUGUAAUUCGGGGAUAACUACGGGAAACGGGAUAUAAUAGGAUAGAAGAUAUUGAACCGCAGGGGGGAUUGGAGAAUUACGGUUUUGGGGUCUGGUAUAGAUGGUUCCGCGCUGGAUUGGGUGGUUGGUAAGGUAACAGCUUACCACGGCAAGGAUGCGUAGCCGAACUAAGGGGGUGAUCGGCCACAUUGGAGCUGAGCCACGGUCAAGACUCCUACGGGAGGCAGCAGUCGGGAACCUUCCGCAAUGGGCGAAAGCAUGACGCAGCAAGGCCGCGUGAGUGAUGACGGCCUUCGGAUCGUAAAGCCCUCUUAUUAGGGAAGAACAGCUGUCUCCGUAAACAUAGCCGUAUUGACGGUACCUAAUAAGAAAGCACCGGCUAACUACGUG